GAUGAACGCUGGCGGCGUGCCUAAUACAUGCAAGUCGAGCGAACAGACCAGGAGCUUGCUCCUCUGACGUUAGCGGCGCACGUGUGAGUAACACGUGUAUCACCUACCUAUAAGACUGGGAUAACUUCGGGAAACCGGAGCUAAUACCAGAUAAUAUAUUGAACCGCAUGGUUCAUUAGUGAAAGACGGUUUUGCUGUCACUUAUAGAUGGAUCCGCGCCGCAUUAGCUAGUUGGUGGGGUAACGGCUUACCAAGGCAACGAUGCGUAGACGACCUGAGAGGAUGGUAGGCCACCCUAGAACGGAAACACGGUCCAGACUCCUACGGGAGGCAGCAGAAGGGAAUGGUCCGCAAUGGGCGAGAGCAUGACGGAGCAACGCCGAGUGAGUGAUAAAGGUCUUCGGAGCGUGAAACUCUGUUAUUAGUGAAGAACAAAUGUGUAAGUAACUAUGCACGUCUUGACGGUACCUAAUCAGAAAGCAACGGCUAACUACGUG
Molecule: ribosomal RNA, 497 nt
Filed under: uncultured bacterium
Lineage: Bacteria
Description: partial 16S ribosomal RNA
Rfam family: Bacterial small subunit ribosomal RNA
Source: RNAcentral